Non-coding RNA from Termitomyces sp. Mi166#008, 98 nucleotides. The record is from the annotation of a GenBank genome assembly. NCBI's taxonomy places the organism in Eukaryota, Fungi, Basidiomycota, Agaricomycetes, Agaricales, Lyophyllaceae.
GGCGCUGUAGUGUAGCGGUUAUCACUCGAGAUUCUGAUGAAGAACCAACCUUUACCAGAAAUCUUCUCGAAACCCAGGUUCGAUUCCUGGCAGUGCCU